CCGAGUUGGCCCAAAAAAAUGAAAAGAAAAAUUUAGGCCCAAGGUGAGAGGGUGGCCGGCCAUACCUGGUCCAAGCCCACCAAAUUAAUUAAUUUCCAUGUGACAAAUUAAUUAUAAAGGGAUCAUUAUCCCUUAGAUGAUUCAAGAAACUUAGAAGGAGAAAGAACAAACAAAACAAGAGCAAAAAAAAGGACCAUUUCGGGUUUGGCCAUAGAAAAUUCAACCCUCCAAAUCUUGCUUCAAAAAUUAUUUUCUUGUGGUAUUCCUACUAAUUCAAGGGUCCUUUACAACUUGGUGUAGUUGUUUUGGAAGAAGGAACACUUAUUUCUUCAAGUUGACAACUUGUUCAAGUGAAGAAGUUUGUAGAAAAAGAUUUCGGGCGAAACGGGAAUUGAAUUCGAAAAGGCGUAAAGACCAUAUAAGGUACAGACGACAGGUUCGCUGAUCCAUCUGUUUAGGAUCCCACUUCUGCUAUUUUGGGGCGCUCUCUUCUUCAGAGCCCACUUUUUGGUACAGUCUGUCACUGCUAUCUGGAUAUGUAUAUUGUUCUGGGUAUGACGGGGCCCUGUCCCGUCUUAUGAUUAUGUUAUGUUCUGUAGAGGUCUGUGGAUAUAUCUGUAUGGGUUCUGUACAUAUGUUUGGGAUACUUUGUCCUAUGAUGGCCUUAUCGGCCUAUGUGUGCCAAGUCUGCUUUUUAU
Molecule: long non-coding RNA, 698 nt
Organism: Lycium barbarum (goji berry)
Lineage: Eukaryota; Viridiplantae; Streptophyta; Magnoliopsida; Solanales; Solanaceae
Exons: 3
Source: RefSeq, a predicted model, not a curated record